RNAcentral lists this ribosomal RNA (422 nucleotides) under uncultured bacterium. RNAcentral's name for it is "bacterial SSU rRNA". It matches the Rfam family "Bacterial small subunit ribosomal RNA", at positions 355 to 792 of the family's 1533-position model. The record is from RNAcentral.
UGGGGAAUCUUGGACAAUGGGGGCAACCCUGAUCCAGCCAUGCCGCGUGAGUGAUGAAGGCCUUAGGGUCGUAAAGCUCUUUCGCCUGUGAAGAUAAUGACGGUAGCAGGUAAAGAAACCCCGGCUAACUCCGUGCCAGCAGCCGCGGUAAUACGGAGGGGGUUAGCGUUGUUCGGGAAUUACUGGGCGUAAAGCGCACGUAGGCGGACCAGAAAGUUGGGGGUGAAAUCCCGGGGGCUCAACCCCGGAACUGCCUCCAAAACUAUUGGUCUAGAGUUCGAGAGAGGUGAGUGGAAUUCCAAGUGUAGAGGUGAAAUUCGUAGAUAUUUGGAGGAACACCAGUGGCGAAGGCGGCUCACUGGCUCGAUACUGACGCUGAGGUGCGAAAGUGUGGGGAGCAAACAGGAUUAGAUACCCUGGGU